Non-coding RNA from Malus domestica (apple), 463 nucleotides. NCBI's taxonomy places the organism in Eukaryota, Viridiplantae, Streptophyta, Magnoliopsida, Rosales, Rosaceae. The record is from RefSeq and is a predicted model, not a curated record.
AUAAAUGUUACGAGCAUGGGAAAGGCAUAACCAAUUUUAAAUCAGCUUUUCAGGCGGUGUUACUAUUGUGAAUGUUAUGCGAGAAAGCAAAGAAAAUUCUAAUGGGAGAAAGCAAAGUUAAGGUAAUGAUUUUGGUUUGUCCUUUAGCUUUCAAUAAUUUCAAUGCUAAUUAGGGGUUUUUCUUCAUAUGUUUUCUUUCGUGUUUCAACUUCCGAUUUCACUCAAUUUUAUGUAUUUGCUGAACACCUUCUCUGUUUUACAAAAUGUUUCUAUAUUCCCAAAUAGUUGUACCAAGAACCAACACUACUUAGAUCACACUGAUAGUACUUGGACCUAAAAGAAUGGUCAAACGGAUCUUUUCUCAAAGUCAAAUCUCAAUUGUACAAAUGACUGAUUUUUUUAAUGUGUUGUUAACGUUUGAUCGUUUUAUCUUUGAAGUAUUAUUGCUUUAUCAUUAACAUUU